AGUCGAGCGGUAGCACAGAGAGCUUGCUCUCGGGUGACGAGCGGCGGACGGGUGAGUAAUGUCUGGGAAACUGCCUGAUGGAGGGGGAUAACUACUGGAAACGGUAGCUAAUACCGCAUAAUGUCGCAAGACCAAAGUGGGGGACCUUCGGGCCUCAUGCCAUCAGAUGUGCCCAGAUGGGAUUAGCUAGUAGGUGGGGUAACGGCUCACCUAGGCGACGAUCCCUAGCUGGUCUGAGAGGAUGACCAGCCACACUGGAACUGAGACACGGUCCAGACUCCUACGGGAGGCAGCAGUGGGGAAUAUUGCACAAUGGGCGCAAGCCUGAUGCAGCCAUGCCGCGUGUGUGAAGAAGGCCUUCGGGUUGUAAAGCACUUUCAGCGGGGAGGAAGGCGGUAAGGUUAAUAACCUUGGCGAUUGACGUUACCCGCAGAAGAAGCACCGGCUAACUCCGUGCCAGCAGCCGCGGUAAUACGGAGGGUGCAAGCGUUAAUCGGAAUUACUGGGCGUAAAGCGCACGCAGGCGGUCUGUCAAGUCGGAUGUGAAAUCCCCGGGCUCAACCUGGGAACUGCAUUCGAAACUGGCAGGCUAGAGUCUUGUAGAGGGGGGUAGAAUUCCAGGUGUAGCGGUGAAAUGCGUAGAGAUCUGGAGGAAUACCGGUGGCGAAGGCGGCCCCCUGGACAAAGACUGACG
RNAcentral lists this ribosomal RNA (694 nucleotides) under Klebsiella pneumoniae. Its description in RNAcentral is "bacterial SSU rRNA". It matches the Rfam family "Bacterial small subunit ribosomal RNA", at positions 60 to 745 of the family's 1533-position model. Lineage: Bacteria; Pseudomonadati; Pseudomonadota; Gammaproteobacteria; Enterobacterales; Enterobacteriaceae. The record is from RNAcentral.